This is a long non-coding RNA of Oxyura jamaicensis (ruddy duck), 2154 nucleotides long. RefSeq lists it as uncharacterized. The transcript is spliced from 2 exons. Lineage: Eukaryota; Metazoa; Chordata; Aves; Anseriformes; Anatidae. The record is from RefSeq and is a predicted model, not a curated record.
GUUGAGUCAAAGCUAUGCAUUCAGUUCAUGAUUUGAAGACCUGGUGUUUCCACUGUGCCAUAAAUUUUGGAGAGAGUUCUUUUGCCAGUAGGCACUAACUAUAAGCUCUUUAAAGGAUUUUGAUUUGAUGCAGGUUAAUCAUUGUGAAUGGAACAACUAGUAAUUAUACCUGGAGGAUAGGUUUGCUAAUUAAUAUUGUGAGUGCAGCACAGUUUAGUGUAAUGUGAUUACAAGAAUGAAUCUCCUAAAACAGUAUUAUCUAAAAAUGUUUUAAGAGCGUAUUUGUUAUGAUUUUUAAUUAAAAAUGCAAUCUCAUGGUAAUUUGAAACGGUUACCUAAUAAGCACAUAGGUCACAUGGAAGAGUGGAAAUUACUAAGUUACAACUGGUAAAAUAAUCUUUUAUGUGCUUCUUUGUUUGAAUAGUAAAAAGGCAAAAAACAUCCAUGCAGCCAUUACAGUAAGACAGUAGUGCUUUUUUGGCUUCCACAGGACAUUUCUUACAACUACAGAACUGAUGACAGGUGAAUAUACGAAUGAAACUAAGUAUUUUAUUAGAUGUAUAAUUAUGGCUUAACAAAAUAAUUAAAGGAUUGCAUUGUUUGGUAAUACUAUCUGAACUGCCUGUUAACCUGCCAUAAUUUUACAAAUAGAUGUGUUACAAAUGUGCAGUGUAUUUUACCUGAAGACAAGGGGUGUCUUCACACCUUGCCAUGAAUAUGUAACUCCUGCUAGCCUAAGACAUAGACUAUGUUGUAUUCUCCAAGAAUACCCAAUAAAGGCUUUCAACUUGUUUUUCUCUGAAUUCAGAAAAUUUUCAUAGCUUAAAUGAAGAAGAAAAUGAAUGGCCCUUGUCUUUGUUAGGUAUAAUUUCUUUAACUGCUUACUAGUGGAGAUACAUCUGUAUUUAAAUCCAGGAAUCCAAGCCAAUUCUUACCUGCUCAGAGGUCAGUUAAGGCUUUGACUUAGGAGCACACUACCAAGUAUCAGCCACCAUGUGCAGAGACUAGAACUCUGAGAAUACAGAUGAAAUUCUUGAUUUGUCUGUCCAAACAGCCUUCCAUAACCUUUGUAAAUCUUGUGCACUUCCUUCCAUUGUGUCCUGCGUUGCAGUCCCUCAUAGAACUCCUCACCUGUCUGUUCUCACUGCCAAAAUUUUGGUGAUCUCAGAUUGUCUCUGAGACUUCUCCUUCAUGUUCUCUUCCAUGAACACCCAGCUGGCUGAAGGCAGGAGGAAAGCCUAAAAGCAUCUGAAUGACCUUCUGUGGACCUUUUAAAAUAGCUUUGAAUGUUGCAUCAGGAUAUGCAUAAAAAAUCGCACAAUGUGGGAAGAACCAUGGUAAUGAAGACUUGCUAAUUGCUGAAUUAAAUAAUGUGUUUGUUAUCAGUACUAUUAAAACUAUGUAACCAGACUGUGACUGUACUGCCUAAUGUGCAAAUUCUUGAAAGAUGACAAACUGCUAAGAAGUUGGUUUGAGGGAUAUGCAAUUUUCCUCAAUAAGAAUAUGCCAGAUACUGCAUAAGAAUACAGACCUAAUGCAUGUGGCUAUUUAAACAAUACUGUUUCAUGUUAGGGAACUUGUCUGCCAUGCUUGCUGGAGCAGUAUAUUUAUACCCUAAAGUAUAAACAGUAGCAUUUUUUUUACUGAACAAGUGUGAAGUGCUCAAACUUCAUCAUAAAUAGUUACCCAUAUUUGAUAUUUUGAUUAUGGUAGGGAGCCCAGAAUGCUGAACCAAAAUCUUUAUUAAUUUUACAAAACAUGCUACAUGUUAGGGCAGUUGAAUUGUAAUUAUGAAGUAAAUGAAAACAACGUGUUUUGCUUGAGUUUAUUCUCUAAUUAGAAAGGAUAAUGGAUAAUCAGUGUAGAGCAGUAGCUAUCAACUUUUAAUGUUUCUGAACUGUAGGAAAUGGUGUAUUUGCAAGUCUGGUGUCUGGUCAUUGAUAUCAGGGCCGGGUUUCCCAGCGAGUAAUUCCACGCUUCAGUCUUCACUGAUUGUUUGCCACUAGUGUUUUGAUAUAGUAGAACUGUAAAUGAGAAUUUGCAGUAGAUCUUCUGUCAGAGGCUUCAUUAGUCCAAAAUUCACUUUUGUCAUCUGUUCUUAGUGAUAUAUUUCAGCUGGCUUUAUUAAACUUUCUGUUUGAUUUUUUAGCCUCA